GCCGGGGUACCCAAGCUAGGUAAGUCAUGCUAGGCCCUAAAAGGGGUCAGCCUCGAGAGCUGAUGUCCUUCGGGACUCGUGGGUUCAAGUCCCACUCCCGGCG
Molecule: transfer RNA, 103 nt
Filed under: Nitrososphaera sp.
Lineage: Archaea; Thermoproteati; Nitrososphaerota; Nitrososphaeria; Nitrososphaerales; Nitrososphaeraceae
Description: tRNA-Ser
Rfam family: tRNA
About the family: Transfer RNA (tRNA) molecules are approximately 80 nucleotides in length. Their secondary structure includes four short double-helical elements and three loops (D, anti-codon, and T loops).
Source: RNAcentral